Molecule: ribosomal RNA, 273 nt
Filed under: uncultured soil bacterium
Lineage: Bacteria
Description: partial 16S ribosomal RNA
Rfam family: Bacterial small subunit ribosomal RNA
Source: RNAcentral
AGAAUCAACGCUGGCGGCGUGCCUCAGACAUGCAAGUCGAACGCGAAAGUCCCCUUCGGGGGACAAGUAGAGUGGCGCACGGGUGAGUAACACGUAGGUAAUCUACCUUCGGAUGGGGAAUAACAAUCGGAAACGGUUGCUAAUACCGCAUAAUGCAGCGGCACCUAAUGGUGACAGUUGUUAAAGCGGGGGAUCGAAAGACCUCGCGUCUGAAGAGGAGCCUGCGGCGGAUUAGCUAGUUGGUAAGGUAAUGGCUUACCAAGGCUACGAUCC